Molecule: ribosomal RNA, 71 nt
Filed under: Solanum tuberosum (potato)
Lineage: Eukaryota; Viridiplantae; Streptophyta; Magnoliopsida; Solanales; Solanaceae
Also listed under: 9 other names
Description: 18S ribosomal RNA
Source: RNAcentral
GUUAGCGCUGUUUUUUGAUUGCAGCUAGCGCGCUUGACUAAUAAGAUAGAAAGGGCCUUUCUCGCUUGUUU